Molecule: ribosomal RNA, 646 nt
Filed under: Rauvolfia serpentina (serpentwood)
Lineage: Eukaryota; Viridiplantae; Streptophyta; Magnoliopsida; Gentianales; Apocynaceae
Also listed under: 1 other name
Description: eukaryotic LSU rRNA
Rfam family: 5.8S ribosomal RNA (bases 237-392)
Source: RNAcentral
UGUCGAAUCCUGCAAAGCAAACGACCGGUGAACUGUGUUUCUAACUGUGGCCGUCGGGUGCCUUCGGGCUCCCGUCGUCCCCCUCGGCCGGCCGAUGCCUUCGGGCUCCCGGUCGUGCCGAACGAACCAACCCCGGCGCGGAAAGCGCCAAGGACUACUAAAACGGACUGCCUUCCCUCGGCCGGCCCGUUCGCGGUGCUGGUCGUGGGAUCUAAGGCGCCUGUCGAAUCCACAACGACUCUCGGCAACGGAUAUCUAGGCUCUCGCAUCGAUGAAGAACGUAGCAAACUGCGAUACUUGGUGUGAAUUGCAGAAUCCCGUGAACCAUCGAGUUUUUGAACGUAAGUUGCGCCCAAAGCCAUUAGGCCGAGGGCACGUCUGCCUGGGCGUCACGCAUCGCGUCGCCCUCCCCACCCCUCGGCCUUAAGCGGACGAGGCCGGUGCGGGAGAGCGGAGACUGGCCUCCCAUGCUAGGCGCGCGGUUGGCCUAAACCUUGGUGCCCCGUCGCGGACUGCACGACAAGUGGUGGUUGAAUCCCUCAACUCGAAUGCGAGUCGUGCAUGAACCCGCGGCCGAGGAAGCCUAACGACCCCCCUGCAAGCCCCUUCCCGAAGGAGCGCUUGCCACGACUGCGACCCCAGGUCA